UACGGAGGAUCCGAGCGUUAUCCGGAUUUACUGGGUUUAAAGGGUGCGUAGGCGGGCGCCUAAGUCGGCGGUGAAAGGCUGCGGCUCAACCGUAGGACUGCCGUCGAUACUGGGCGCCUUGGAUGCGGUCGAGGCGGGUGGAAUGCGCGGUGUAGCGGUGAAAUGCUUAGAUAUCGCGCAGAACGCCGAUUGCGAAGGCAGCUCGCCAGGCCGUGAUUGACGCUGAGGCACGACAGCGUGGGGAU
This 245-nucleotide ribosomal RNA is filed under the name uncultured bacterium. RNAcentral's name for it is "partial 16S ribosomal RNA". It matches the Rfam family "Bacterial small subunit ribosomal RNA", at positions 524 to 768 of the family's 1533-position model. The record is from RNAcentral.